RNAcentral lists this unclassified non-coding RNA (270 nucleotides) under plant metagenome. RNAcentral describes it as "partial contains small subunit ribosomal RNA, internal transcribed spacer 1, and 5.8S ribosomal RNA". The record is from RNAcentral.
UUUCCGUAGGUGAACCUGCGGAAGGAUCAUUAUCGUACAAAAUGUGAGGGGCAUGCGAGGGCUGUCGCUGACCCAAAAGUCGUGCACGCCCGAGUGUGUCCUCUUGCAUAAUAAUCCAUCUCACCCUUUGUGCAUCACCGCGUGGGUCCCUUUCUGGCUCGUCCGGAGGGGGGCUCGCGUUUUCACACAAACUUGAAGUAGUGUAGAAUGUCCUUUUUUUGCGAUAACACGCAAUUAAUACAACUUUCAACAACGGAUCUCUUGGCUCUC